Molecule: long non-coding RNA, 654 nt
Organism: Mauremys reevesii (Reeves's turtle)
Lineage: Eukaryota; Metazoa; Chordata; Testudines; Geoemydidae
Exons: 4
Source: RefSeq, a predicted model, not a curated record
ACGGUUUUACUUUACAACAUCACAUUGAUCCUCUUUGUCUUUUACUUUUCAAAGAGGAAAAAAGGCUUUUCAUCUCUCCUCAGGAAAUACGCAAUGAGAUCAGUGAGCUGUCAGUAUAAAAUGGAUGUUGCUGGUGUUUAUCAUGGUAGGAGGCAUUAAAUGAAUUACAUCGGGUCCGUGGAACUGAUGAUACAGCUGAGGAACGAGGAAGAAGUGGCAGACACAGCAGCCACCAGACCGAGCUGAUUUCCUUAGGCAGGUAUGCUGUGGUAACCUCUAAUGAAGACACUUAGUGGGAGGCUACAAGCAGGCACUGGACAUCUAAUGAAAUCAGCUGGAACUUGUUCUCAGAAGAACUAAAUAAAAUCUGAACACCUGAUUCAGGUUUUGGUCCAUAAUAUAUAACAGUAAAAAAAGUGACGCAUUCCCUAGUAAUGAAUUAUGGAGUACAUGAUAACAUCUCAGACCCUCAUCUCCUCCAGGCACAUAAGAACUGCCUGGUAAUGCCUGUAUCAGAGCAAUUAUGUCUUAAAUUAUGAAUAUGACUAGCCAAAGAACACACAGGCUGAUCCUCAGCUGGAGUUAUGACAAUUUAAAACAGCUGAAGACCUCUCCAUUGGAUUACAUUGUUACCAAUGGAUCUGAGGGGAAAAA